Molecule: long non-coding RNA, 655 nt
Organism: Folsomia candida
Lineage: Eukaryota; Metazoa; Arthropoda; Collembola; Entomobryomorpha; Isotomidae
Exons: 6
Source: RefSeq, a predicted model, not a curated record
UACUCGUUAGCGAGAACGAAAUCAAGUGCUACAUAUUUAUCAAGGAAUUAUUAUGCAGAGCAAAAAAGGAAAUCUUGCCCUGCUGAUUUUAGCCGCGGGAUUCUUGUAAAAUUGCACCUCAACUCAUCUACACCUUGCCAGCAGGGGGCCGACAACGAGGUGCUAGUGUCCCAGUCUAUGUCAAAAGCGAGCGGGACGAAUCGGGCCCCUCGCCAACAGAAUUGGCCCUUUAUUAUUUACGGCGGAUGUUCUCCAUUGUCCACAUCGAUGGCGACACCUCCAUUAUUCCCAUAUUGGCAGAAUCGCGCCGUUCCACCAGGUUUCUGCGAGCAGAUGAAUAAUAUUUGCAGAGAAUCGAAUGGACUUGUAAUUACAUGCAAGUUUGGACAAUUUUUGACUCGGGCCGGAUGCGUGAAUCAAUAUCCCACUCCGAAAUUCGAGAAUGCCUGCAAGUCUUCGGGAUGUACCUGACGAUUUCCAUCAGCUAUCGCCGCUGAUGGAAAUCGUCACCUAUUCUAAAAGUGGGGAAACUCUAAACUGCUUUUGCAGGGCCUGAAAGUGCUCUUACGUUUUUUAUGUACAAACUUGUGUGUUAAACUUGUGUGUUAAAUGAGUAAAAAAUAAACCAGACUUCGUAAAAAAAAUCUUCAUCAAA